This 253-nucleotide ribosomal RNA is filed under the name uncultured bacterium. Its description in RNAcentral is "partial 16S ribosomal RNA". It matches the Rfam family "Bacterial small subunit ribosomal RNA", at positions 524 to 776 of the family's 1533-position model. The record is from RNAcentral.
CACGUAGGGCGCAAGCGUUGUCCGGAAUUAUUGGGCGUAAAGAGCUCGUAGGCGGACUGUCACGUCCGCUGUGAAAAGCUAGGGCUUAACCCUGGCCUUGCAGUGGAUACGGGCAGACUAGAGGUAGGUAGGGGAGAAUGGAAUUCCCGGUGUAGCGGUGAAAUGCGCAGAUAUCGGGGGGAACACCGGUGGCGAAGGCGGUUCUCUGGGCCUUACCUGACGCUGAGGAGCGAAAGCGUGGGGAGCGAACAGG